GAUGAACGCUAGCGGCAGGCUUAAUACAUGCAAGUCGUGGGGCAGCAUGAGUAGCAAUACUUGAUGGCGACCGGCAAACGGGUGAGGAACACGUACACAACCUUCCUUCAAGCGGGGAAUAGCCCAGAGAAAUUUGGAUUAAUACCCCAUAAUAUAUUGAUAAGGCAUCUUAUUAAUAUUAAAGCUUCGGCACUUGAUGAUGGGUGUGCGGCUGAUUAGAUAGUUGGCGGGUAACGGCCCACCAAGUCUACGAUCAGUAGCUGAUGUGAGAGCAUGAUCAGCCACACGGGCACUGAGACACGGGCCCGACUCCUACGGGAGGCAGCAGUAAGG
Molecule: ribosomal RNA, 333 nt
Filed under: uncultured bacterium
Lineage: Bacteria
Description: bacterial SSU rRNA
Rfam family: Bacterial small subunit ribosomal RNA
Source: RNAcentral